This 333-nucleotide ribosomal RNA is filed under the name Triticum aestivum (bread wheat). RNAcentral describes it as "partial small subunit ribosomal RNA". The record is from RNAcentral. Lineage: Eukaryota; Viridiplantae; Streptophyta; Magnoliopsida; Poales; Poaceae.
AUGAACCAGCUUGCUUCCUGGAAGAAGGAAAAAGGGAAAUGGAAGCUAAAUUAUGUGAGAGGAAUUUCGGUUCAGCUUGCUCAUGUGCUACAAUCUAGAAUGUCUGUGAAACGGAUUUCUGCCCAGCGAGCUCCCUUUUUUUUUCCUUCACCUUAUGCUUCUUCCUUUUUAUUAGAGAUUCAGCUUAUGAUUGUUUUGGCAUGCCAUACUGAUCGAAAACUAAUUCCAAAGGCUUGCAGACACGAGAAUAACUACUUUACCCGGUUAAAUAUAGAAUCUAUGACGCGCUUAAUACCACUGCUCAGUUUUAUCUGCAGGAGGCUUCGCAAGUAG